GUCUACAGCCCUAGCACCCUGAACACACCCGAUCUCGUCCGAUCUCGGAAGCAAAGCAGGGUCAGGCCUGGUUAGUACUUGGAAGGGAGACCG
This 93-nucleotide ribosomal RNA is filed under the name Ailuropoda melanoleuca (giant panda). The record is from RNAcentral. Lineage: Eukaryota; Metazoa; Chordata; Mammalia; Carnivora; Ursidae.